Non-coding RNA from Gossypium hirsutum (cotton), 109 nucleotides. NCBI's taxonomy places the organism in Eukaryota, Viridiplantae, Streptophyta, Magnoliopsida, Malvales, Malvaceae. The record is from Rfam.
GUCUCAUGAUGAGAACACACUUACGAAGCAAUUCCUUGAAUCUUUCCCAUGCCUCAUAUUAGGACACGUCAUCCAAUUGUUGAAAAGUAGUUAUCUCAUUUCGCAACUU